GGGCCCGUAGCUCAGCGGUAGAGCAUUCGGCUCAUAACCGACAGCGCGCUGGUUCGAAUCCGGCCGGGCCCACCA
Molecule: transfer RNA, 75 nt
Filed under: Myxococcales bacterium
Lineage: Bacteria; Pseudomonadati; Myxococcota; Myxococcia; Myxococcales
Also listed under: 2 other names
Description: tRNA-Ile
Rfam family: tRNA
About the family: Transfer RNA (tRNA) molecules are approximately 80 nucleotides in length. Their secondary structure includes four short double-helical elements and three loops (D, anti-codon, and T loops). Further hydrogen bonds mediate the characteristic L-shaped molecular structure. tRNAs have two regions of fundamental functional importance: the anti-codon, which is responsible for specific mRNA codon recognition, and the 3' end, to which the tRNAs corresponding amino acid is attached (by aminoacyl-tRNA synthetases). tRNAs cope with the degeneracy of the genetic code in two manners: having more than one tRNA (with a specific anti-codon) for a particular amino acid; and 'wobble' base-pairing, i.e. permitting non-standard base-pairing at the 3rd anti-codon position.
Source: RNAcentral